This 210-nucleotide non-coding RNA is filed under the name Coprobacillus sp. Its description in RNAcentral is "T-box sequence". It matches the Rfam family "T-box leader". From Rfam's summary of the family: Uncharged tRNA acts as the effector for transcription antitermination of genes in the T-box leader family. T-boxes are found upstream of many aminoacyl-tRNA synthetase genes and some amino acid biosynthetic genes usually in Gram-positive bacteria. The anticodon of a specific tRNA base pairs to a specifier sequence within the T-box motif, and the NCCA acceptor tail of the tRNA base pairs to a conserved bulge in the T-box antiterminator hairpin. Lineage: Bacteria; Bacillati; Bacillota; Erysipelotrichia; Erysipelotrichales; Coprobacillaceae. The record is from RNAcentral.
UUAAACUCGAGGACUAAAAGAGUAGUCUUUAUGGAAGUCAAAGCGAUCCUAUGUUGAUGGAAGAUAGGAAUGGAAGUAAAGAUGAAACGCAUUUACGAGAGGAAAGAUGGAAAUUAAGUAUAUCUUUUGGUAGAUCUGCCUUAAAGAUGAAAGAGGUUGUAAGGUCAACUUACAACAAUUAGAGUGGUAACGCGAUUAGUCGUCUCUAUU